Molecule: ribosomal RNA, 741 nt
Filed under: uncultured bacterium
Lineage: Bacteria
Description: bacterial SSU rRNA
Rfam family: Bacterial small subunit ribosomal RNA
Source: RNAcentral
CAGGAUGAACGCGGGGGGUAUGCUUAACACAUGCAAGUCGAACGGUGUCUUCGGACAUAGUUUUUUACGGGUGAGUAACGCGUGAGAAUCUAGCUUCAGGUCUGGGACAACCACUGGAAACGGUGGCUAAUACCGGAUGUGCCGGAAGGUGAAAGGCUUGCUGCCUGAAGAUGAGCUCGCGUCCGAUUAGCUAAUAGGAGGGGUAAGAGCCUACCUAGGCGACGAUCGGUAGCUGGUCUGAGAGGAUGACCAGCCACACUGGGACUGAGACACGGCCCAGACUCCUACGGGAGGCAGCAGUGGGGAAUUUUCCGCAAUGGGCGAAAGCCUGACGGAGCAAUACCGCGUGAGGGAGGAAGGCUCUUGGGUUGUAAACCUCUUUUCUCAGGGAAGAACACAAUGACGGUACCUGAGGAAUCAGCAUCGGCUAACUCCGUGCCAGCAGCCGCGGUAAUACGGAGGAUGCAAGCGUUAUCCGGAAUGAUUGGGCGUAAAGCGUCCGCAGGUGGCUGUGUAAGUCUGCUGUCAAAGAGCAAAGCUCAACUUUGUAAAGGCAGUGGAAACUACACGGCUAGAGUGCGUUCGGGGCAGAGGGAAUUCCUGGUGUAGCGGUGAAAUGCGUAGAGAUCAGGAAGAACACCGGUGGCGAAGGCGCUCUGCUAGGCCGCAACUGACACUGAGGGACGAAAGCUAGGGGAGCGAAUAGGAUUAGAUACCCCAGUAGUCCUAGCUGUAAACGAU